UGUCUAGUAUAAGCAAUCUAUACAGUGAAACUGCGAAUGGCUCAUUAAAUCAGUUAUCGUUUAUUUGAUAGUACCUUACUACUUGGAUAACCGUGGUAAUUCUAGAGCUAAUACAUGCUAAAAACCUCGACUUCGGAAGGGGUGUAUUUAUUAGAUAAAAAACCAAUGCCCUUCGGGGCUCCUUGGUGAUUCAUGAUAACUUAACGAAUCGCAUGGCCUUGUGCCGGCGAUGGUUCAUUCAAAUUUCUGCCCUAUCAACUUUCGAUGGUAGGAUAGUGGCCUACCAUGGUUUCAACGGGUAACGGGGAAUUAGGGUUCUAUUCCGGAGAGGGAGCCUGAGAAACGGCUACCACAUCCAAGGAAGGCAGCAGGCGCGCAAAUUACCCAAUCCCGACACGGGGAGGUAGUGACAAUAAAUACUGAUACAGGGCUCUUUUGGGUCUUGUAAUUGGAAUGAGUACAAUUUAAAUCCCUUAACGAGGAACAAUUGGAGGGCAAGUCUGGUGCCAGCAGCCGCGGUAAUUCCAGCUCCAAUAGCGUAUAUUAAAGUUGUUGCAGUUAAAAAGCUCGUAGUUGAACCUUGGGCCUGGUUGGUCGGUCCGCCUCGCGGCGUGCACUGAUCCGACCGGGCCUUUCCUUCUGGGGAACCGCAUGCCCUUCAUUGGGUGUGUUGGGGAUCCAGGACUUUUACUUUGAAAAAAUUAGAGUGUUCAAAGCAGGCAUAUGCUCGAAUACAUUAGCAUGGAAUAAUAGAAUAGGACGUGUGGUUCUAUUUUGUUGGUUUCUAGGACCGCCGUAAUGAUUAAUAGGGAUAGUCGGGGGCAUCAGUAUUCCGUUGUCAGAGGUGAAAUUCUUGGAUUUACGGAAGACUAACUACUGCGAAAGCAUUUGCCAAGGAUGUUUUCAUUAAUCAGUGAACGAAAGUUAGGGGAUCGAAGACGAUCAGAUACCGUCGUAGUCUUAACCAUAAACUAUGCCGACUAGGGAUCGGGCGAUGUU
RNAcentral lists this ribosomal RNA (999 nucleotides) under Thelebolus sp. Its description in RNAcentral is "SSU rRNA". It matches the Rfam family "Eukaryotic small subunit ribosomal RNA", at positions 56 to 1064 of the family's 1831-position model. The record is from RNAcentral. Lineage: Eukaryota; Fungi; Ascomycota; Leotiomycetes; Thelebolales; Thelebolaceae.